Molecule: ribosomal RNA, 427 nt
Filed under: uncultured eukaryote
Lineage: Eukaryota
Description: SSU rRNA
Rfam family: Eukaryotic small subunit ribosomal RNA
Source: RNAcentral
CAAUAGCAUAUAUUAAAGUUGUUGCAGUUAAAAGCUCGUAGUUGGAUUUCUGGCAUGAUGCGCCUGGCCCGCCUCAAUUCUGAGUGUGUGUGCGAGUGCGCGUCUGCCAUCCAUUUGCAGAAUGUGCCUACUCUUCAUUGAGCCGGGUACGUGAUGUAAAUCUUUUACUUUGAAAAAUUAGAGUGUUUAAAGCAGGCAUUUGCUAUGAAUACAUUAGCAUGGAAUAAUAAUCUAGGACUUCGGUUCUAUUUUGUUGGUUUCUAGAUCUGAAGUAAUGAUUGAUAGGGAUAGUUGGGGGUGCUAGUAUUAAGGGGCCAGAGGUGAAAUUCUUGGAUUCUCUUAAGACUAACUUAUGCGAAAGCAUUCACCAAGGAUGUCUUCUUUAAUCAAGAACGAAAGUUGGGGGAUCGAAGACGAUCAGAUACCA